CGCUUUGACCAAUGCAGAGCUGGAGAAACAAGUCAGUCUCCUCUCCCAAGAGAUCGAGUACCUGAGAUGCAUAUAUCUGAAGGAGGAAGCUCAACUGGACCAUCACACCGGAGAUUUGGAUGUGGUUGUGAAAAUGGACAACAACAGAUGUUUAGACAUGGACAGCAUUAUUGCCAUCCUCAGGGAAGAGUACAAAGAAAUUGUCCAGAGGAGCAAAGCUGAGGCUGAUGCCUUUUACCAAAACAAGUAUGAAGAGGCUCAAAGCAAGAGAUGCUGCUACAAGAGAGACCUGAAGAAAUACAAGCAGCAGAUUUCGGAACUUACAAGGAGGAUCGAGAAGCUUCAGUGUGAAAU
Molecule: long non-coding RNA, 354 nt
Organism: Lacerta agilis (Sand lizard)
Lineage: Eukaryota; Metazoa; Chordata; Lepidosauria; Squamata; Lacertidae
Exons: 3
Source: RefSeq, a predicted model, not a curated record